GACGAACGCUGGCGGCGUGCCUAAUACAUGCAAGUCGAGCGGAUGAAGGAGGAGCUUGCUCCUCCUGAUUCAGCGGCGGACGGGUGAGUAACACGUGGGCAACCUGCCCUGUAGAUUGGGAUAACUCCGGGAAACCGGGGCUAAUACCGAAUAAUCCACCGGACCUCAUGGUCUGGUGUUGAAAGACGGCAUCUCGCUGUCACUACAGGAUGGGCCCGCGGCGCAUUAGCUAGUUGGUGAGGUAACGGCUCACCAAGGCCACGAUGCGUAGCCGACCUGAGAGGGUGAUCGGCCACACUGGGACUGAGACACGGCCCAGACUCCUACGGGAGGCAGCAGUAGGGAAUCUUCCACAAUGGACGAAAGUCUGAUGGAGCAACGCCGCGUGAGUGAAGAAGGCCUUCGGGUUGUAAAAUUCUGUUAUAAGGGAAGAACGACUUUAGUAGGAAAUGGCUAGAGUGUGACGGUACCUUAUGAGAAAGCCACGGCUAACUACGUGCCAGCAGCCGCGGUAA
RNAcentral lists this ribosomal RNA (515 nucleotides) under uncultured bacterium. RNAcentral describes it as "partial 16S ribosomal RNA". It matches the Rfam family "Bacterial small subunit ribosomal RNA", at positions 28 to 523 of the family's 1533-position model. The record is from RNAcentral.